This 788-nucleotide ribosomal RNA is filed under the name Staphylococcus aureus. Its description in RNAcentral is "partial 23S ribosomal RNA". It matches the Rfam family "Bacterial large subunit ribosomal RNA", at positions 444 to 1239 of the family's 2925-position model. The record is from RNAcentral. Lineage: Bacteria; Bacillati; Bacillota; Bacilli; Caryophanales; Staphylococcaceae.
CUGGGAGGACCAUCUCCUAAGGCUAAAUACUCUCUAGUGACCGAUAGUGAACCAGUACCGUGAGGGAAAGGUGAAAAGCACCCCGGAAGGGGAGUGAAAUAGAACCUGAAACCGUGUGCUUACAAGUAGUCAGAGCCCGUUAAUGGGUGAUGGCGUGCCUUUUGUAGAAUGAACCGGCGAGUUACGAUUUGAUGCAAGGUUAAGCAGUAAAUGUGGAGCCGUAGCGAAAGCGAGUCUGAAUAGGGCGUUUAGUAUUUGGUCGUAGACCCGAAACCAGGUGAUCUACCCUUGGUCAGGUUGAAGUUCAGGUAACACUGAAUGGAGGACCGAACCGACUUACGUUGAAAAGUGAGCGGAUGAACUGAGGGUAGCGGAGAAAUUCCAAUCGAACCUGGAGAUAGCUGGUUCUCUCCGAAAUAGCUUUAGGGCUAGCCUCAAGUGAUGAUUAUUGGAGGUAGAGCACUGUUUGGACGAGGGGCCCCUCUCGGGUUACCGAAUUCAGACAAACUCCGAAUGCCAAUUAAUUUAACUUGGGAGUCAGAACAUGGGUGAUAAGGUCCGUGUUCGAAAGGGAAACAGCCCAGACCACCAGCUAAGGUCCCAAAAUAUAUGUUAAGUGGAAAAGGAUGUGGCGUUGCCCAGACAACUAGGAUGUUGGCUUAGAAGCAGCCAUCAUUUAAAGAGUGCGUAAUAGCUCACUAGUCGAGUGACACUGCGCCGAAAAUGUACCGGGGCUAAACAUAUUACCGAAGCUGUGGAUUGUCCUUUGGACAAUGGUAGGAGAGCGU